Molecule: long non-coding RNA, 1737 nt
Organism: Cucurbita maxima (winter squash)
Lineage: Eukaryota; Viridiplantae; Streptophyta; Magnoliopsida; Cucurbitales; Cucurbitaceae
Exons: 3
Source: RefSeq, a predicted model, not a curated record
AAAUUGCAAUUCUAGUGAUGUUACGGCCUUGGGUACGGAUUCUGAUUCUCUAAGUACGAAGAAUUCCAAGAUUACUACUCAAUACUCUGGAUUUGUCAGCUACCAAAUGGUUUGUGAUGCAUACGACGGUAUAUUUUUUUCUUCAAUGCGGUAUAAAUUUAUCACACUGAGUUUCCCAAUCUGGUUCUUAUGGGGAAGAACUUUCUUUUUGUUCAAAUUUCUCCAGCACGUUUGUGGAUAUGGGGUGUUGCAUUAAUUCAUUGUUCCUUGGUAUGAUCUAGGAUGUAGGAUGGAUGUAACUAAUCAAUUGUUAUGUUUUCUCUGAACUAAUAAUGGACGUUUCAUGUCCUUUAAUUUGAAUAGAGCCGACCUUCUCUGUUAGUUCUAGAGUUUGAAUCAAUCUACCACUUGAUAUAUUUUUCUUUAAUAUUUAUUAAUCAAAUCCUAAGUUCUUCAAUUCUCCGGAAAAUAUUUGGGAUCUUAUUCAGCAAUAGGAGGUGAGAGAUUCCAACUCGUGAUGGGUAAUUUAAACCAAGUUGGGUCUUUUUUCUGUUGAGUUGUUCUUGUACCCAAAUAUGACGUUCAACAGAUGGAUGGAAAGCACUUUGCAUUGCUUCUCCGUUAAGUGUUAUUCUGGAAUUUGUAUUUAUUUAUUUUUCCAAUGAGCUGAACGCCUAUCAUCCUGUAUAUAAAAAGAACCUUUUUUCCCGAAAAUUCUACUCUUGCUGUCCUGCUUUCAAGUCUCAACUACUUUUAAAUUUUAUCCACUCUUUCCCUUAUUGGAACUUGAGUCCAUUUUCAUUCAUUUCUAGUAUUAUGGCCAAGGUGUGAGCAGGAUCAAUGUACUUAGUUAACAAGCUUUUAGAGUUUGUAAGCUACACGGAGGCUUUUGUUUGCCUUUGCCGUAUUCCUCGAAGUUCCACAGUAGCUAACUUUAUUGUUCUGGCUUGGUCCUCUUAAUACACGAGCAAUCUGUGCUAAAAAAUGCUAUUCAUACAUACCAAGUAUGAACAUCGCUUUAUUGAGCAUAUCACCCACUUUUCUGUCGCAUCUAGGUUAGAAUUAUAUGUGCCACAACAAAGUUAUAUGUGGCCGUUGGGUUUAUAAAAAUCACGAUUUUCUACAAUAGUAUGAUAUUGUCCAUUUUAAGCAUAAGUUCAUAUAGUUUUGCUUUUGGUAUUCUCACACGGCCUUAUACCAAUGAAGAUUGUAUUUCUCACUUAUAAAUUCAUAAUCAUUCCCUAAAUUAGCCAAUGUGGAAUUCUCUCCCAACAAUUCUCAAUAGGCACUUGACGGCAUCAAGGUAGACACAUUAAGGUUAAAAGUUCGAUUUAGGGGGAGAGGUGCAGAACUUGCAUGUUAGCCUCCAUUAACGGUAAAUCUGGACUCCGUUUCGUAAGCUAAAGGCUAAAAACUAAUUGUUAAUUAGGAAAGACAACUCUACAAAAAUCUGCUGUAAAUAUAACGUGGAAUCUUCUCUACUUGAGAUUCGAUAAUGUGCAUGCCAUGUUUUGAGGCAUGGGGCAAGGCCCCGGAUCAAGUGCAAAACAGACCGUACUUUUCAGGGUUAGGUUAAAAAAGCUGCCGUUUUCGAUUGAAUAAAUAGGAUUAAAGAAACACACUUCUUAGAAGUUAUUUUGUUCUUUUAGGUAAGAUAUGUAUGUGUUCUUUGGCCUAUAAACUCUAGUUUAUGUAUAUAAUAUGUUGCGCUUCUGCCCAUCAAGUUUAGAAAUUACU